Flavobacteria bacterium MS024-2A is the source of this 84-nucleotide non-coding RNA. NCBI's taxonomy places the organism in Bacteria, Pseudomonadati, Bacteroidota, Flavobacteriia. The record is from Rfam.
GCGCACGUGGCGGAAUUGGUAGACGCGCCAGCUUGAGGGGCUGGUGGGAUUAUUCCCGUGGAAGUUCGAGUCUUCUCGUGCGCA